This 407-nucleotide ribosomal RNA is filed under the name uncultured Diversispora. RNAcentral describes it as "partial 28S ribosomal RNA". The record is from RNAcentral. Lineage: Eukaryota; Fungi; Glomeromycota; Glomeromycetes; Diversisporales; Diversisporaceae.
GAGAGUUAAAUAGUACGUGAAAUUGUUGAAAGGGAAACGAUUGAAGUCAGUCAUGCUAGUGAAAAAUCAGUUUGACGGGUUUUGAGUUCUUGAGUAGAGGCAGGGUCAAACCGUUUCUCUUUUGGACUUGGGAUUUGUUAGAUGUACUUUUUCUUUGGCAGGUCAACGUCGGUUUCGGGGGUUGUAAAAUACUUGGGGGAAAGUAGCUCUGCUUCGGGAGAGUGUUAUAGACCCUGAGAGAUGCAGCUUGUGGGAUCGAGGAUUGCAGCAAAUGCCUUUGGCUUGUCGCCUGUUCCUGGGUGUUACCUCUCUUGUGACAACAUUCUUGCCACUGGAGGGUACUAAUGCCUACUGUUUAGUGCGAUCAAAAAUUUUGCUAAGGAUGUUGACGUAAUGGCUUUAAACGA